UGUUAUUAGUCUAAUAAACAUGAAGUUUCUUGCUUUGGGCAAGAGGCUUGUUUUAAUGUUUACAUAAAUUGACAUUUGAAAAUUUUGAUUACUAAUUUAUCUUCUAAUUUCUGUUUCAAUUGGUUAUGAUUAUAAUUAGGUUACAUCUCAUCCACAAUUAUGGGACAGAAAAUAUUUGAACCUGGUGAUUUACAGUCAUCGGAAACUUUCUGGAAUGUUUUAAAGCUUUCACCUCGAGACAAACUCGACAAGUUUGCUGAAAUGUGGUUCCAUGUGUUUCUCUGGGCCUUUUCGUCGUACCUUUUUGUUCAUCUUGUUGCAUCUCUGGUUGCAUUCAUUUCUCUUAGGAAACACAAAAUUGCCCGAUUUGCUCCUAUCCUGCUAGUAAUCUCAGGAGUUGUCACUCCUCUAACAAUGAGUUUAAUCACUAGUUCAGCAAUUGCUGGUGUUUUUCGAGCUGCCAGCAUCGGUAUGAGUCCGCUGAAUGCAUUCCUAUUUGGUACUGGACAAACUCUCGUGAAUCUGAUUUUUAGUUACACCAGAAUCUUGGCCACAUUAUGAUUCUUUUAUGAUCUAUUUUCAUCGCUCUCACCAUCAGAUUGGAUUUUAUCAAGUGAACUCUCUAUGUAUCCUGGAAUUGCCAAUUUUCGCUUCAAUUGAAAAUCAUUGGCCUGAAGUUUAGCUUGAAAAUUCAAUGAUGAAAUGUCUCUUUAAAUGUCACAUGACAAUUCUCAUUCUAAUGGUUUAGCUAUGAAAAAUUUAUUGAAAUUGUUACAAUUGCUGAAACUAUUUUUCAAAACAUGUUCUAUUAUUGUUAUUAUAAAUUGAAUUUAUUCAGAUUUCUAUGA
Non-coding RNA from Tetranychus urticae (two-spotted spider mite), 848 nucleotides. The record is from RefSeq and is a predicted model, not a curated record. NCBI's taxonomy places the organism in Eukaryota, Metazoa, Arthropoda, Arachnida, Trombidiformes, Tetranychidae.